Molecule: RNA transcript, 4361 nt
Organism: Struthio camelus australis
Lineage: Eukaryota; Metazoa; Chordata; Aves; Struthioniformes; Struthionidae
Gene: NETO1
Gene name: neuropilin and tolloid like 1
Source: RefSeq, a predicted model, not a curated record
GGUUGCUCCGCUCUGUUGUGUGUGGGCUUUAGGGUUUUUUUUUUUUUUUUCCUUCUUUUUCUACUUCCAUCCUCUCCCCGCCACUGGAAGUCCUCCCGUAUCUAAAUGGAAUUAGUGGAGACCGAAGCCCCUUCUGUAAGGAACAGACAUGACCCAUGGGCGCAGCUUCUUUCACAUUGUAGCAAGUCUAAUCAUCCUACAUUUGUCUGGGGCAACCAAAAAAGGAACAGAAAAGCAAACUACUUCCGAAGGACAGAAACCAGUGCAGUGUGGAACUUGGACAAAAUAUGCAGAAGGAGGCAUCUUCACCUCUCCCAAUUAUCCCAACAAGUAUCCUCCUGACAGAGAGUGCGUCUACAUUAUAGAAGCUGCCCCUAGACAAUGUAUUGAACUACACUUUGAUGAAAAAUAUUCCAUAGAGCCUUCUUGGGAGUGUAAAUUUGACCAUAUUGAAGUACGCGAUGGACCUUUUGGCUUUUCCCCAAUCAUUGGACGUUUCUGUGGACAGCAAAAUCCACCUAUGAUAAAAUCCAGUGGCAGAUUCCUGUGGAUUAAAUUUUUUGCUGAUGGUGAGCUGGAAUCUAUGGGUUUUUCUGCUCGAUAUAAUUUUACACCUGAUCCAGAUUUUAAGGACCUUGGCGUUUUGAAACCAUUGCCAGUUUGUGAGUUUGAGAUGGGAGGACCUGAAGGAAUUGUGGAAUCUGUGCAAAUUGUCAAAGAAGGAAAAGCUUCUGAAACUGAAGCAGUAGACUGUAAAUGGUACAUCCGAGCACCACCCCGAUCCAAGAUAUAUUUACGAUUCUUGGACUAUGAGAUGCAAAAUUCCAAUGAAUGCAAAAGGAAUUUUGUGGCUGUCUAUGAUGGAAGUAGCUCAGUGGAGGAUUUAAAAGCGAAAUUUUGCAGCACUGUUGCUAAUGACGUAAUGCUGCGGACAGGUCUCGGUGUGAUCCGCAUGUGGGCAGAUGAAGGCAGUCGAAGCAGCCGAUUCCAGAUGCUCUUCACAUCUUUCCAAGAACCCCCUUGUGAAGCCAACACAUUCUUUUGCCACAGUAAUAUGUGUAUUAAUAAUACAUUGGUCUGCAAUGGACUUCAGAAUUGUGUGUAUCCUUGGGAUGAAAACCACUGCAAAGAAAAAAGGAAAGCUAACCUAUUGGACCAACUUACCAAUACCAGUGGGACUAUAAUUGGGGUGACCUCUUGCAUUGUGAUCAUCCUCAUUGUUAUCUCUGUUAUUGUACAAAUCAAGCAGCCUCGUAAAAAAUUUGUCCAAAAGAAAACAGACUUUGAUCAAACAGUGUUCCAGGAGGUGUUUGAGCCUCCUCACUAUGAGUUAUGCACCCUUAGAGGGACAGGGCCUACUGCUGACCUUGCUGAUGUUGCAGAUGACUUUGAAAAUUAUCAUAAACUGCGGAGAUCAUCUUCAAAAUGCAUUCAUGACCAUCACUGUGGAUCACAACUGUCUAGCACUAAGGGCAGCCGUAGUAACCUCAGCACAAGAGAUGCUUCUGUCUUGACAGAAAUACAACCCCAGCCUGUAAAACCCCUCAUUCAGCCCGUGAACAGGAGAAAUAUCCUUGUCAUGAAGCAUAGCUACUCACAAGAUGCUGCAGAUGCGUGCGAGAUAGAUGAAAUUGAAGAGGUACCAACCACAAGUCACAGGCUGUCGAGACAUGAUAAAGCUGUCCAGCGGUUCUGCCUCAUUGGGUCUCUAAGCAAACAUGAAUCUGAGUACAACACAACUAGGGUCUAAGAGAAAAACCUGAGGAGAAGGAACCCUGCUUGUUUGCAAACUCCCAGCACCACCAUAGGAAAAAAGGGAAGCACCUUGCCCUUCAAGCAAAAAACUGUUACUAGGAGUAGAGUUACAACCCAGCAGCCCAUGCUAAAAAAAGGAAGGACCGAGACUGCUCAGAUUUCAUUACCGAAGGAGCAAGCCUGACCAACAGCACCAAGCAGCAUUGCAUUCCUACACUCUUACAUAAGGGAGGCUGAAGUGCGAACCUGCUUCAUCCCAGGGGGCAGGACAUCACAACCGAUGCCUGAGAAAUCUGACUGAAAUGAAGGGACUGAAUAUAUCUAGGAAUGGAAAAUGCCCCCAGAGAAGGUUUUCACUGAAAAAGACAUUGGCUUCACCUUUCCACUUCCAGUGGACUGCAGUCAUAAGUGAAAUUUGUUCAGCCAAAAUUGCCGGGACCUUAAUUCCCCAGGCUACUGGAAAGACAUCUUAUUAUUAAUUCUGCGUUAAUGAAGAGAUUGGAUUUAGGGCAUGAUCCAGAGCCCAUUGUAGUCAAUGGGAGUCUUUUUCCAUUGACUUCAGAGGGGUUUGGAUCAGGUCUUUACUUCCUAAAAUGAAUAGACUCCCUGCAAAAGCCUGCUGUAAGUGAGUGGCAUCCUUUCCUGAUACCUUAGAAGAUGCUGAAGAUUUAAUAGCUGUAACUUGCUCAUGAAUAUGUAUGGCUCAUUGCUCAUGGGGAACAUCCAGUGUAUCUUAAAAAUAAGGAUAACCCUGAAAGUCUAAGAAUUGCUGGUCAACUUUAGAAUGCUUAAUUUAGAAAGCAGGAAUUUAUCUCUAUACAAUAAAUUGGUAAAAGAUGAGGAAUAUUGCAGAUUAAUUUCUAAUUAUUUCUUAGUUCCUGAGGGAAAGGGGAGAAUUUAAGUUUAAAAUUCCUGUAACUCUAGUAUGUGAAACCUUGAAAUUCAGAAACAAAAGUCAAUAUUGCUAGAGACUUCAUUUCCCUGGCACAAAUACUGUAAUGAAAGCUAAUAGUGCCAAUACAAAAACAUACACUUUCAUGUGUCUGCUGAGGAAUAAUCGUUUUCAAAAUGUCUAUUUCUAUAACAGGAAUCCAGACAUGUUACAAAGUUGCUGCAAAUUAAAGGAUUUUUUUUUUAAGAAAUGGUAGAGAUUUUGGUUUUUCCCAAAUAAGUUUAAAGAACUUUCUCAAAUUGAAGAGAAAAUAUAAAAAUUUAAAUCCUCCUCCCUACUUCUUGAAUCCAUAUAAGUCAUGUAAGUGUCACAUAAGUGUCUGAAAUCCUAAAUGUCUGGGAGCACAUACUAAGCAAUGGAUUCAAGCUUUUGGCUUCAGAUUCUUGAUUAGUUACAUGAUGCCUGACUUCACAUAUCUGCAGGACAUAUCUCUAUGUCUGACCUAGUCACUUAGGAAUUUCUUUUCAGAUAGUAUGGGCACUUUUAUAGCAGAAAUGUUCUAAUGUUCAUGCAGUUGUUUAAAACAUAUCUGACGAGCUGUGUUCAAGAAGUAUCUGUAUCUCUCCACUGAUUAUGAAGGGAAUAAAUACAACUUACUCGCACAUAAAUGUUUGCCUUUAUUAGUAUAAUUUGCUUCUCCCUCCCUCCUCUGUUGAGGUACAUGAACUGAGACCCCUAAAACUUUGUUACCAAGGCAAGAGGCUCAGGAGCCGGGUGGUCAAGAAAACCUCUGGACUUCCAGCAGUCGUAACUGCAAUAGUGAGAGAGCUUAGACACUGCCAAUCAGUUUUCUUGGCUCUAAAACAAAUGACACCCUUGUUACCUCCUUCUCCUUUUUGUCCUUUGAUAUGAGGAUGCCAUUUCUGGCCAAAAACCUGAAACAAUCAUUUUCUGAUACCUUGAGGAAAAUUCAGUCAAAAAUUAUCAUUUCCUCUCUGUCAUACCUGGAAAGAGUUAUCUGUAACACAAACUUCACAUAAUCUUCAACAAAACUAAUAAUUUCUGGUGAACAAAUAGUAUGGGGCAGAUCCUUGAGGCAUCUAGGCGGCUUCACUCUCCGCCAAUAAAUCCGUAAACCUGGAGACGCUGGUUGACUGAAAUGGAACUUGGAAAGGGAAAUGGAGCUAUCUGAAAAAUCUGUUUUAGAAAGAUAAUGAUAUAGUGGAACUCCUCAAGAAUUCUGCUUUUCAUAUCCAAUUCAAAUGUUUUUUCCCAUUCUCUUUGCUGUCAUUCGAAAUUUAGUAUUUUAAUCUCUUCAGUUAAUGCAAAUUUCACAGGAAACAUUUUAGCCAAAGUAUAUAUCUUAAUUGGCUCAAUUAUUUGAUAUGUUUUCUGCUAAUUUAUUUUCUCAUAGAAAGAUGCACUUCUUAUUAGGUAUCCCUUAUGAUAUUUUGUAUCUUCCCUGACUGAUGUGCCCCUCCCUACUUGACUGGUUUCAUUCGUGCAGACAACAAUCUUGGGUAGGUCAAUAAGGCUCUUUGACCGUUGGAAAGGUGCAUCAUUAAGUUUUGCAAAGUUAUAUCCUGUUGGACAGAUUGGCAUAACUGUAGAUAAUGAUGCACCCAAACUGUAAAUCUGGAUACCUAAAUUGUAAAUACAGUCUUCAAGUUGACCUUGGGUUACAGUUUUUUGAAAGCUACUAUUAUACUGUAUA